RNAcentral lists this ribosomal RNA (468 nucleotides) under uncultured bacterium. RNAcentral describes it as "partial 16S ribosomal RNA". It matches the Rfam family "Bacterial small subunit ribosomal RNA", at positions 28 to 507 of the family's 1533-position model. The record is from RNAcentral.
GACGAACGCUGGCGGCGUGCUUAACACAUGCAAGUCGAACGGAAAGGCCCUGCUUUUGUGGGGUGCUCGAGUGGCGAACGGGUGAGUAACACGUGAGUAACCUGCCCUUGACUUUGGGAUAACUUCAGGAAACUGGGGCUAAUACCGGAUAGGAGCUCCUGCUGCAUGGUGGGGGUUGGAAAGUUUCGGCGGUUGGGGAUGGACUCGCGGCUUAUCAGCUUGUUGGUGGGGUAGUGGCUUACCAAGGCUUUGACGGGUAGCCGGCCUGAGAGGGUGACCGGCCACAUUGGGACUGAGAUACGGCCCAGACUCCUACGGGAGACAGCAGGGGGGAAUAUUGCACAAUGGGCGGAAGCCUGAUGCAGCAACGCCGCGUGCGGGAUGACGGCCUUCGGGUUGUAAACCGCUUUCGCCUGUGACGAAGCGUGAGUGACGGUAAUGGGUAAAGAAGCACCGGCUAACUACGUG